Hydra vulgaris (swiftwater hydra) is the source of this 567-nucleotide RNA transcript. RefSeq lists it as uncharacterized. NCBI's taxonomy places the organism in Eukaryota, Metazoa, Cnidaria, Hydrozoa, Anthoathecata, Hydridae. The record is from RefSeq and is a predicted model, not a curated record.
ACUUUUACUUUGCAUCUUAAAUUAGUAUUGAUAAAUACAUAUACAUAUAUCAGUACUUUUUAUACUACAAUAUUUACAAUUGUUUAGGAAAAAGAGAACUUUUUGAAAAACAUCCAGACUCAAUUCCUUCAAUCUUUGAUACUGAAAAACUAAGUUCCCCUCAAAGAAAAAUUAAUAAUAAUAGAAUUAAUAGAGUCAAUAGAAGAAUAAGUAGACAAAAUUUGGUUGUUCCUGUAUGUAAGAAACUAAAACUUUUUGAUAAAUCUAACAGAGAAAAAGUUGAUUUUGUAAUUGAAAAAAAGAGCUUAUGUAGUAAAGAAAUCAAUGAUUCUGCAUAUACAGAGAGUAUUUUAGAACAAUGUUCUAGCAAGAGUUUUGAGAAACAAGAAUUUUAUCCUUCUGAAUCAAAUAAGGAGCAAUUAGAACAAUGUUCCAGCAUAAGUUUAAGUAAUUCUACAUGUAACGAAGAUCUUUUAAAACAAAGCUCAAGCAAAAGUUUUAGCGAAGAGUUUUGGUUUUCUACACCUAAUGAAGGUAAUUUAGAACAAUGCUCAAGUGAUAUUUUUA